AGAGUUUGAUCAUGGCUCAGGACGAACGCUGGCGGCGUGCUUAACACAUGCAAGUCAAGGGGGCCCAGCAAUGGGCAACCGGCGAACGGGUGCGUAACACGUGAGCAACCUACCGAACUGUGGGGGAUAGCCGGCCUAACGGCCGGGUAAUACCGCAUACGCUUUCGAUGAGGCAUUUCAUUGAAAGGAAACCUACGGGACAGAUCGAGGGGCUCGCGGCCUAUCAGCUAGUUGGCGAGGUAAUGGCUCACCAAGGCUACGACGGGUAGCUGGUCUGAGAGGAUGGCCAGCCACAUUGGGACUGAGAUACGGCCCAGACUCCUACGGGAGGCAGCAGUGGGGAAUCUUGCGCAAUGGCCUAACGGCUGACGCAGCGACGCCGCGUGUGGGAUGAAGCUCUUCGGAGUGUAAACCACUGUUGCCCGGGACGAAUAGCUCGAUUAAUCGAGCCUGACGGUACCGGGUGAGGAAGCACCGGCUAACUCCGUGCCAGCAGCCGCGGUAAUACGGGGGGUGCGAGCGUUGUCCGGAAUCACUGGGCGUAAAGGGCGCGUAGGUGGUUUGAUAAGGGUGUGGUGAAAGUCCGGGGCUCAACCCCGGAUCUGCCGUGCCGACUGUCAAACUCGAGGGCUGUAGAGGCAGACGGAAUUCCGGGUGUAGCGGUGGAAUGCGUAGAGAUCCGGAGGAAGACCGGUGGCGAAGGCGGUCUGCUGGGCAGUUUCUGACACUGAUGCGCGACAGCGUGGGGAGCAAACAGGAUUAGAUACCCCCGUAGUCC
Molecule: ribosomal RNA, 778 nt
Filed under: uncultured bacterium
Lineage: Bacteria
Description: bacterial SSU rRNA
Rfam family: Bacterial small subunit ribosomal RNA
Source: RNAcentral